CUGCGGUGCGAGGAGGAGGGAGGGGCGUGCUGGGGGGCUUCACUCUUUUUCUUUCCUUCCAGGCCUUGUCCAGGGCUGUCUUCUCCUUCCCGCCUACCCUCGAGUCAAUGCCCAGGGCGGGUGCGGUAAAAUAGACCAAGCAGUUGCCCCGAAAUAUGCAUCCCGAGGCUCCGCUUCAGAUCCGGGCUUGGAAUUUUCACAUGAAAUGUGAGGCUGCUGUGUCCCUGGGUUUGCCCGUCCGCGUGGAUGCUGAAAUGCAGUCACAGAACCCUGGGUUGAAUCUCGGUUGUUGGUGAAUGGUCUGCUUUGUCCCAAACACUGCUCGGGAUUCCCAAUUUUUAACGUGUGUGUGAUGGAUCGCAUCCUCACACCUGAUAUGUACAAACAUUUUCUCAGAAAUGUAAAAAGAACUCUUUCUCCAAAGUAGUUUCCCUGUGGAAAAGAACACAGAUUUGAGGCAGCCCGCAACCAGUGCAGUGGAGCGCCUGCGAACCUGUCUGGACCGGAAACCACGGGGCGUGUUCCGAGCCGCUGUUUCCAGAACCAGAAGGGAAACCUCCCACAGGCUCGUCUGCCUCCUCUGACGCAGAGGGCCGGGCCCAGCCGUGUGCGGCAGGUGCUGUGGGCCGGCGGCCGGCUUUCUCACGGAGCUGAACGACGGCGCGGGAGUUUACACCGACAGGAAGCUGGCAGGGCGCGCUGUUGGGGCGAGGCCCGUGAGGCCGCCUGCUUGGCCUGCCCGUGGGCGCCUGCGGGAGGACGGGAGGCCGAGAGCCCACGGCCAGGCUGUUCAGCCCGGGGACGCGCGCGGGCGCGGGCGGGUGGGAGGCCGUCGCUGUGGGGCCGCCUCUGCCCCAGGAGGGCCGGCCUUCCGUGCGUGGAGAGAAGGGACCGGGCUGCGGGAACCCGCACGCCCCCCACCGCCCAGAGGCUGCAGAAGGCUCUAGCGCAGAGGGGCUGGGAGCCAUGCUGUGGCUCGAGUGCCCCCAGCAAAGGGCGAGGGGAGCGCCUGAUUGAGAUCCGUGAUUUCGCAGACUGCUGGGAGUGGAGACACUUUGGUAUAGCUGUGUCGGGUGCAUUCUCUCCCCCACCCUUUGUUUUUUUUUUUUUCAGGGAGUCCUGUACCUGGGGAGCAGGUGCUCAACCCCUGGAGCUACAUCUGUUCCCUCCCCACCCUUUAGAAGUGUUGUUAGCUCAAAAAUUAAUUUUGUUUUAACUGUUAAGAUUAAAAAUGUCCUGGUUUUUGAAACUGGUAAGACAAGUGUUGAACCUGAGGUUCUGCAGUAUUAGGACUGGGACUGUUCUCUGCCGUGAGCGCUAGAAGGUGAAGCGGAGGCCUCUGGUGCGGUGGGAAGAGAGGUCGUCACAGGAGCAUCUUGCUUGCUCAUUCGUCCCCACCCCGGGCAAGGCCGACUCCUGGGAAUGUUUGAUAAAACAUUCUUUUCCCAGGCUUAUUACUAAUCAAAAUGUAAGUUUUUGCUUCUGAUCUCUUUCCUCUAGAGUCUGUGAUUCAUCUUGCCCCCAGAGUUAAUUUCCUAAAACAGAUUUAAUCAUGCCACCUCCCCUCCUCAACAGUUUUCAGUGGCUCCCCACUACUUAUUAUCAAGCCCAACAUCUUAGCAUGGGGUAUGGAAAACCUUUCAUGACUCGACUUUGUACUACCUUUCCAGUUUCAACAUCUUUUACAACCCUCCCUGUACCAUGAGUCCUUGGGUCAUCUGCUGAACACCAAGAACCAGAAAAGCUUAGCCCAAACUGGCUUAUACAAUACAGGGAUUUAUUAGCUCCUGGGCCAAAAAAAGUCCAGUGUCAGGGUGUUUCACGCAAGGCUUGAUCCAGCAAGUCAACAGUACCCCCAAUGACCUAAUUUCUUUCUGUCAGACUGUCGAGGUCCCAAGAUGGUUGCCAGUAGCGCCUGGGCUUUGUGCUUCUCUGUGCAUGUCUCCAGCAUUUGUAGCUGAUCUUCAAUCUGGUUAGACUUGUUUCUGUCUUGUGUCUCUCCCUUCACCAACCAAUUCCUGUGGUCAGGGGGAUGGAAUGUGCCAAUUGGUUGCCCGUUGCAGGGUUCCCCCUUGCAUCUGGAGUUUCCCAGAACUGUAUGGAUAUCUAAGUAGACCUUGGGGGUGCAGGAAGGAGGAAGGGCUGGAAUCUGCGAAGGUACUAAGCAUUUGUUCACUCCAAACCACCGACACAUUUACAUCUCGUGCCUUCCCUCCCCUCCUCGUUCUUCCUGGAAUAUACCACCCACUUCCACUGAUCACAUCUGACUCCUGUUUAAAGGCCUUGCUCAGGUGCCACCUCUCCUGUAUGCCUCUUCUAGUCUGGUAAGACUAAUCCUUCUCCCACUCCUCUACGCCCCGGAACACACUGUGCUUCUGUAUCAUGUGCAACUGCACCGAUUAAUUCUACUUGCAUUAUGUGUAAUUGCUUAUGCCUGACUCCUCCAUUGAACCUAAAGACCCUUGAAGAAGGGGGAUUCACACUUUGCUCAUUGUGGGGCUUUACAAGUGUUGAAUAAUAGUAACAAUCAAUUUCAAUGUUGAGAGUUUACUGUGUGAAAGACACCCAUGGACUCUUUCCACAUAAUUUUCUUUAAUCCCAUUUCAUUUUGGCAACAACAUGAUGAGAUAGAUACUAUUAUAAUCACUCCUAAUUUACAGGUGAGGAAACAGGUUUUGCAUGAGGUAAGUGAAUUGUUAGCAGAUAGUAGCAGAGAGGCUUGGACCUAGGUUUUUUUUUUUUUUUAAAGAUUUAUUUUUUACUUAUUUCUCUCCUCUUCCGCCUCCCUCCCAGUUGUCUGUUCUCUGUGUCCAUUCGCUGUGUGUUCUUCUGUGUUCACUUGCAUUUUUGUCAGCGGCACCUGGAAUCUGUGUCGCUCUUUGUUGUGUCAUCCUGCUGCGUCAGCUCUCAGUGUGUGCGGCACCAUUCCUGGGCAGGCUGCACUUUAUUUUGCGCUGGGUGGCUCUCCUUACGGGGUGCACUCCUUGCGUGUGCGGCUCCCCUAGACACCCUUGCGUGACGGGGCACUCCUUGCAUGCAUCAGCACUGCGCGUGGGCCAGCUGCACACGGGUCAAGGAGGCCGUGGGUUUGAACCCUGGACCUCCUAUGUGGUAGGUGGCUCUGUCAGUUGAGCUGCAUCCUCUUCCCUGGACCUAGUUUUUUGCUGCCUCCAGUGUUCAGGUUUGUAAGCAUUGUGUUAUCAUGUUUUGUACUGAAACUUGCAAAGACUCUUUCCUGGAAGGUGAGUCCCUGGGAAAGGUGGAGUCUUGAGGGAGGACUGGAGGAAGGUCGGCAGAGGCGCACAUGUGUUUGGGGCUUUGGGAGAAGCCCGAGGGACUGUGUGGAGGACACUGGUGGGAAGUGGGUGGCAGAGGCACCCCUGGGACUCGCUCAGGGCGGCUUGCCAGCACGGGGUCUUCCUUCAGGAACUGCUUUGGGCGGCGCCCAGUAGUGCUGCAGCACCGUGUGCUCAGAUACUUGGGUCCUGGCUUCCUUCUGGUCCUCAGAAACAGGCCUGUGCCCAAGGGACUGGAAAUGAGGCCGCAACUCCCACCUGCUCGGUAAAACCGAGUGGCGUGAGGCCACCGCUUGCCG
Dasypus novemcinctus (nine-banded armadillo) is the source of this 3595-nucleotide long non-coding RNA. Lineage: Eukaryota; Metazoa; Chordata; Mammalia; Cingulata; Dasypodidae. The record is from Ensembl.